UGUGUCCAGUGAUGGGUAGACAUCUUCACCAAUAUGGUAAGCUAAACGAACAGGGCAUUUGGCAUAGCCAUAGAGGCGGAGAUCCUCUUUAAAAACCUUCAAAGUAAGAAUAAAGAACAAGCUAAUAAGACUUCCAAGGCCAAGGGGGCAACAAAUAAAGCUGUGGCUGAGGUGGAGGCUAUGAAGAAAUAGCAAUUUGGAUAGUCUAUAAAGCUUACCUCUACCUUAGAAGAAAUUGAAAACUUUAAAAAGGAAGUCCACUUUUGCCAAAGUGAAGUGGCUUCCAUGACGAGGUGGUGAAGACUUCUAAUGCUUACCAAAGGCUUGUUGCCGAGGCCCUGGAGGUGAUCAAUAAAGAGAAUGUUGCUCUAAAAGAGCAGGUAAGGAACUCUAAAGCGCUUGGCUCGAAGGAGGUGGAAACAGUAAGUAAGGGAGCUAAGUCUAUUGGUAGUGAGGUUAAAAAGCAUUCCGUUGACAACUUUUACAUAACAGAGGCAUACCAAAGUUUUGAGAAGUAUUGGCGAAAGUAUGCCCACAUCGAGGUGGUUUAGUUGGAUCGAAGCUAACUUUCAGACCUUCAAUACCUUUGACUUGAGGUUUGAAUACUUAGAGGGAAAAGAGCCUCAAACCCCACCAGAGGAAACUACAUGAUAAAAUUUGAAGACAAAGCUAAUGAAGAAGAUGAUGAAGUUGAAGAAGUCAUGGCUCUCGAUGCCAUAAUGCCUUUUGUACCUCCCCUCCUCUACCUAUGUAGAUUGGGUAGCUUGUAAUCAUUUUUUUUUAGGCUUGGAAGCCCACAUCUUACAAUAUUUUUGUUAAUUAAUGAAAGAUCCUCU
This 836-nucleotide long non-coding RNA is filed under the name Olea europaea (common olive). Its description in RNAcentral is "long non-coding RNA (OEUR_LNC006774)". Lineage: Eukaryota; Viridiplantae; Streptophyta; Magnoliopsida; Lamiales; Oleaceae. The record is from RNAcentral.